GAGAGGAUAAAAGUCAGCAGGUUGAAUUUUUUCCAAACUUCAGCUUGCAGCCUACAGCAUCUUGGAUCCUCAGCUACUUCAGCAGAAACUCAAGAGUAAUUCAGUGUGAACAGCAAUGGUGGUGGAGAGGAGCUGCACUUUCCUCACCUUUAAUUGUAAAGUAAUUCAGAAAAAGAAAGAAAUUCUACUAGUCAUUAUGGCAAUUGUAAAAGCAGAAAGAAGAACAUUCCAGAGAAGGAAAACGUUCUAACUCAGAGAAGGGAGCAUUUCAGCUCAUUCUUGAUGGAUAUGUGAAAGUAAGUCAAAUACACUUGAAUGUUUGGGGGAAAAAAAUAAAAUAAGAGGUUGGGAUGCUAUCUUCCUCUUGCCUCAGUCAAAAUAGGCCAAAUUCAAAGCUUAAAAGGGCAGCAGAAGAUUAGAAAAUGCCUAAGGAGGAGAACUCAGAGAAAGAGAACCCUGAAAGACAAACUUCACUCACAUUAUAAUCUCCUAGGAGGCCAUUCAGUAUAGCCAGAAAAGCACUCUUCAUUUUCAUAUUUCAGAGAGUUUUUUGUUUGUCAAGAUUUAAAAAAAAAAUUCUUUUCUACAUUUAAUUGCAGUAACAGUUUUUGGUGCUUAUCGAUGUUAAUGGUAAAUACAAGCAUAAAUAGA
Macaca mulatta (Rhesus monkey) is the source of this 651-nucleotide long non-coding RNA. NCBI's taxonomy places the organism in Eukaryota, Metazoa, Chordata, Mammalia, Primates, Cercopithecidae. The record is from Ensembl.